GGGAAUGUGGCUUAGUGGUGAGAGUGCUUGCCUAGCAUGCAAGAAGCUCUUGAUUCAAUUCCU
This 63-nucleotide transfer RNA is filed under the name Dipodomys ordii (Ord's kangaroo rat). It matches the Rfam family "tRNA", at positions 1 to 61 of the family's 71-position model. From Rfam's summary of the family: Transfer RNA (tRNA) molecules are approximately 80 nucleotides in length. The record is from Rfam by way of RNAcentral. Lineage: Eukaryota; Metazoa; Chordata; Mammalia; Rodentia; Heteromyidae.